GCGGCGUGCUUAACACAUGCAAGUCGAACGGUGAAGCAGGAGCUUGCUCUUGUGGAUCAGUGGCGAACGGGUGAGUAACACGUGAGCAACCUGCCCCGGACUCUGGGAUAAGCGCUGGAAACGGCGUCUAAUACUGGAUACGAGGAGCGACCGCAUGGUCAGCUUCUGGAAAGAAUUUCGGUCUGGGAUGGGCUCGCGGCCUAUCAGCUUGUUGGUGAGGUAAUGGCUCACCAAGGCGUCGACGGGUAGCCGGCCUGAGAGGGUGACCGGCCACACUGGGACUGAGACACGGCCCAGACUCCUACGGGAGGCAGCAGUGGGGAAUAUUGCACAAUGGGCGAAAGCCUGAUGCAGCAACGCCGCGUGAGGGAUGACGGCCUUCGGGUUGUAAACCUCUUUUAGUAGGGAAGAAGCGAAAGUGACGGUACCUGCAGAAAAAGCGCCGGCUAACUACGUGCCAGCAGCCGCGGUAAUACGUAG
This 480-nucleotide ribosomal RNA is filed under the name marine sediment bacterium ISA-7243. RNAcentral's name for it is "bacterial SSU rRNA". It matches the Rfam family "Bacterial small subunit ribosomal RNA", at positions 39 to 530 of the family's 1533-position model. The record is from RNAcentral.